UUAAGCCAUGCGAGUCUUCCCGCAAGGGAGGCGGACUGCUGAGUAACACGUAGCUAACCUGCCCUCGGGUGGGGGAUAACCUCGGGAAACUGAGGAUAAUACCCCAUAGGAGAUAACAUCUGGAAGGAGUUAUCUCCGAAAGGCUUUGCCGCCCGAGGAUGGGGCUGCGGCGGAUUAGGUUGAUGUUGGGGUAACUGCCCAACAUGCCUAUAAUCCGUAGGGGCCCUGAGAGGGGUGGCCCCCAGAUGGACUCUGAGACAUUAGUCCAGGCCCUACGGGGCGCAGCAGGCGCGAAACCUUCCCAAUGCGCGCAAGCGUGAGGGGGGUAGUCCCUGUGCUUCCCAUGUGGAAGCUUUUCUCCACUAUAAAAAGGUGGUGGAAUAAGGGGUGGGCAAGACCGUUGCCAGCCGCCGCGGUAAUAACGGCGCCCCAAGUGGUGAUCCCGUUUAUUAGGCCUAAAGUGUCCGUAGCCGGGAGAGUAAGUCUUCUGUGAAAUCCCCCAGUAGACUGGAGGGCUUGCAGGAGAUACUGCUCUCCUUGGGACCGGGAGGGGCUGAGGGUACUCACAGGGUAGGGGUGAAAUCCUGUAAUCCUGUGGGGACCACCUGUGGCGAAGGCGCUCAGCUGGAACGGAUCCGACGGUGAGGGACGAAAGCCAGGGGAGCAAACCGGAUUAGAUACCCGGGUAGUCCUGGCUGUAAACGAUGCUCGCUAGGUAUUAGGGACCUCAUGGGGGUCCUUAGUGCCGGAGUGUAGGCGUUAAGCGAGCCGCCUGGGGAGUACGGUCGCAAGGCUGAAACUUAAAGGAAUUGGCGGGGGAGCACACAAGGGGUGGAGUCUGCGGUUC
Molecule: ribosomal RNA, 847 nt
Filed under: uncultured archaeon
Lineage: Archaea
Description: bacterial SSU rRNA
Rfam family: Archaeal small subunit ribosomal RNA
Source: RNAcentral